This 180-nucleotide non-coding RNA is filed under the name Clostridium cibarium. Its description in RNAcentral is "Clostridium sp. Sa3CVN1 6S RNA". It matches the Rfam family "6S / SsrS RNA". Rfam says of the family: E. coli 6S RNA was the first non coding RNA to be sequenced, but its function was unknown until recently. Lineage: Bacteria; Bacillati; Bacillota; Clostridia; Eubacteriales; Clostridiaceae. The record is from RNAcentral.
GAGAUCCUGAGAUGUACGCCUAGCUUACUAUGUUCAACCUACAUAUUAUAUACGGGAUUUGCAACAGUUUUAUGGAUGUCGAGCUUCCGUUUUGUUAGAAGAUGGCUGAAGUAAGAUGAGCUUAACCCACCUGCGAGGCGCAGGUAUGAAUGUAUAAGCAAACGGCAUGUUGGGAAUUGA